AUGCGGAUACUGCGCAUGCGCAGACGGCAGGAGGCGACACUGUCCACCUCGCUGAGGUGCCUCCAUGGCCGCGGUGAGACAUGGGGGAGAGCCGAUGCUGGUCCGCACUCCGGCGCCUUUCCGAGGCGGUGUCGCCUGCUCAGAACUCCUUGUGCGUGGAUGGCCGAGUCUGGAGCCUCGCAUCUGCCGCACACUCAGUACGCGGCCGCUGCGCUGCGGGAAGAGGAGGAGGCGACGCACGGCAUGCGCCCCUCCCUUUCGGGAGGUAUGGUUCGGCCCGCGGGAGGCGCGCCGGUUUUGCGCGGCGGCCGUGGCUGCUGAGGGAGCUGCGGUGUGAGGCUGCGGUUAUUGGCACUGCUUGUCUUCGAAAUCGGGCACUUACCUCUAAUGAAAGCAAUGGAAGUUGGUCAGUGGCCGGAGCAUGCACCAGCAUGACCAAAAGAUGUCCGACGAGUAUGGUUUCCAGUGUGUUUUCCUGGUGA
This 482-nucleotide long non-coding RNA is filed under the name Serinus canaria (Common canary). RNAcentral describes it as "lncRNA (ENSSCAG00000014848.1)". Lineage: Eukaryota; Metazoa; Chordata; Aves; Passeriformes; Fringillidae. The record is from RNAcentral.